Molecule: ribosomal RNA, 504 nt
Filed under: uncultured Geobacter sp.
Lineage: Bacteria; Pseudomonadati; Thermodesulfobacteriota; Desulfuromonadia; Geobacterales; Geobacteraceae
Description: bacterial SSU rRNA
Rfam family: Bacterial small subunit ribosomal RNA
Source: RNAcentral
ACUCCUACGGGAGGCAGCAGUGGGGAAUUUUGCGCAAUGGGGGAAACCCUGACGCAGCAACGCCGCGUGAGUGAUGAAGGCCCUUGGGUCGUAGAGCUCUGACAGAGGGAAAGAAAUGUGGGUGGCUAAUAUCCAUACCACUUGACGGUACCCUCAAAGGAAGCACCGGCUAACUCCGUGCCAGCAGCCGCGGUAAUACGGAGGGUGCGAGCGUUGUUCGGAUUUAUUGGGCGUAAAGCGCGUGUAGGCGGUUUUAUAAGUCUGAUGUGAAAGCCCCGGGCUCAACCUGGGAAGUGCAUUGGAUACUGUAAGACUUGAAUACGGGAGAGGGCAGUGGAAUUCCUAGUGUAGGAGUGAAAUCCGUAGAUAUUAGGAGGAACACCGGUGGCGAAGGCGGCUGCCUGGACCGAUAUUGACGCUGAGACGCGAAAGCGUGGGUAGCAAACAGGAUUAGAUACCCUGGUAGUCCACGCUGUAAACGAUGAGAACUAGGUGUCGCGGGUA